CUCCUUCAAAAUGCAGCUUGACUGUGAUUCAUGGCAAAAAGCUGGAAUAAUCCUGCCAGGUCUUAGACGCUUUAAGAUUAAUAGCAUUGAACUCGAUACAUAUAAAACAGCACCUUGAAAAUGAAUCAUCUGCUAAUUCAGUAUUUUCUAAUCACAAUCACUCCCUCUGGGGGCAUGUAAUUAAUUUACUGAGUUUAAAAAAAAAGUCAGGAUUACUCACACAGUCUUGAAGAUGCAAUGUCAGCUAUUUAGGACAAACACCCAAGGCCGUGUUAGAACUCAAUUACGACUACAUAUGCGUUAAAGCAGGAACUGGCAGGCCUCUGGACUACAGCAACUAUAGGACUCGUGCUUCUCGUACGCUGGGCUAUAAUUUAUGAAAACUGAGCCCCAGAUCCAGCCAAUCAUUUAGCUCCUCAUAACAAGUCUAACUGGCUCUGGAAAGCUGAAAGGACUGCGCUAGAACAACAAAGAUGAGAUAUUCCACACAAUAAUCUGCUUAUCUGGAAUCACUUUCCCUUGCCAGGCCAGAGAGAAAUCGCAGCUUCAUCGUCUGAGGAAAGGAGGACAGAUGACCCUGGAAAAUGCAACGACACCUGGAGCAAGAGCUUUUCCUGGCUUGGCAAUCCUAACAGUGCCGGCAUUAAAGGAGAGGGCUGCCCCUGGAAACCGAAGGGCAGCUACAGCAGUGAAAACCGGAGAUAAUUGAAUUCAACUUGAGAUUUGACACUAAGAAGAAAAAUAUGGCGAUACAUAGAGAACAGAAAAAGUAAUCCAUUGGCAGUUCCCCACAAGUGCUGCUGCCUACAGUGACUAUGUGAGAACCGAACCUUCUGAGGAAGCCAGCUCUGCCUUUUGAAUAGAGAACGAAGAGCUCCGCAUCCCGGGCGGCAUUUCAAGGUUUGAUUCAUCAGGCAAGUUCUCAAGGCUCAAUGUUGAUGGAUAGAUCCGCCCUGGAGCCAACGUUAAAGCCAGACCUUAGAUUUAUGAAAAUAAACCAAAACAAGCGAUGAGACAUUUUGAAAUGUAGAAACUAAGAGGAAAGAACAAGACUUCCCUUAGGAUCUGGGGAGCCGGGGAAAUGCAAGUGUUACCAUCCUCAGUUCAACAACCAACAGAAAAACUCAUGUCACCUAAGCACAAGGUGUGAACUGCUGCCAGGCCCGCACCUGACUUUUUUAGUUACUCUCCUUGCAUGCAGUGAAUGACUCUCUGGGUCACAUCGUCCUAAAGUCUGUGACACAAAAAGA
RNAcentral lists this long non-coding RNA (1250 nucleotides) under Equus asinus (donkey). Its description in RNAcentral is "lncRNA (ENSEASG00005034528.1)". The stretch from base 356 to 605 matches the Rfam family "Prostate androgen-regulated transcript 1 conserved region 2". Lineage: Eukaryota; Metazoa; Chordata; Mammalia; Perissodactyla; Equidae. The record is from RNAcentral.